RNAcentral lists this ribosomal RNA (492 nucleotides) under uncultured bacterium. Its description in RNAcentral is "partial 16S ribosomal RNA". It matches the Rfam family "Bacterial small subunit ribosomal RNA", at positions 29 to 507 of the family's 1533-position model. The record is from RNAcentral.
AGUGAACGCUGGCGGUAGGCCUAACACAUGCAAGUCGAACGGCAGCACAGUAAGAGCUUGCUCUUACGAGUGGCGAGUGGCGGACGGGUGAGGAAUACAUCGGAAUCUACUUUUUCGUGGGGGGUAACGUAGGGAAACUUACGCUAAUACCGCAUACGACCUACGGGUGAAAGCAGGGGAUCUUCGGACCUUGCGCGAUUGAAUGAGCCGAUGUCGGAUUAGCUAGUUGGCGGGGUAAAGGCCCACCAAGGCGACGAUCCGUAGCUGGUCUGAGAGGAUGAUCAGCCACACUGGAACUGAGACACGGUCCAGACUCCUACGGGAGGCAGCAGUGGGGAAUAUUGGACAAUGGGCGCAAGCCUGAUCCAGCCAUACCGCGUGGGUGAAGAAGGCCUUCGGGUUGUAAAGCCCUUUUGUUGGGAAAGAAAAGCAGCAGGUUAAUACCCCGCUGUUCUGACGGUACCCAAAGAAUAAGCACCGGCUAACUUCGUG